Molecule: long non-coding RNA, 10660 nt
Filed under: Nicotiana benthamiana
Lineage: Eukaryota; Viridiplantae; Streptophyta; Magnoliopsida; Solanales; Solanaceae
Description: long non-coding RNA (NBEN_LNC035753)
Source: RNAcentral
CAAAUCUAGAUACAAAAAGAAAAAGAAAAACGUUCUGGAAUUCAAGGAAAAACAGUAGAGGUUUAGAGUGAUUUUGUAGUCAAACAGUUUGAAAAAAGGGAGAAAAAGUUGUGGUUUUUUCCUGUUGAUUCAAGGAAGCUUUGUUUGACAUUUCAGUGAAUUUCGAGUUCGGUUUCGAUCCGAAAUCGAAGUCGAGUAUGCUGUUCCUGAGCUGCUGAAUUCCGUGCUCAAUUCCAACCUUAUCUGGGUUGCUUUUUGCCGCAAUUUCCCUGCUAUUAGGUAUGUAUUCCUUUAAGCUAUGUUCAGACUUCAAAUUUACUAUGAGAUGGAAUUGCUUUAUUGUUUAUUUUUUACAAUGAUUUGGUAAUCAAAUGGUAUGCUUGAUUGUUUAUUGGUUACGCUUAUUAUAUGUGCAAUUCAUAUGAUGUAAAUAGAAGUGUAUUCAUAAGAUUCGGUUUUCUACAAACAUGUGCAAUUUAUAUGAUGUAAAUAGAAGUAUAUUCAAAAGAUUCAGUUUUCUACAAAUGGAAAAGAAAAAGAAUUUUUGUUUUCCACUUACUACUGUAUCUUAUAUUCGGUGGACUCACUGCUAAAAGGUAAAAAUUUGUCCCAUUUGAUAUCUUUGCCGUUUGUUCUUACAUAUAAUGAAAGCACAAAGUCUUAAAAAAAUUUAAAUGCUCGAGGUAUGAGCAAGAAGUCGAGGUUGUUUGUUUCUAACUAUGGGAUGACUUUUAACAUUACCUUUUUUUUUUUUUGAAAAAAGCCAACGGGGGGUUUGGUGGGAGAAGAUGUGAUCUGUUUGGUUAAUUGAUACUGGUAAGUGAUAGAAUCUGCUUAGUGAGCUUGGAGAUGGUCAAAUGCUAAAUUCUUAAAAAAUCUCUUUGAUAAACAGAGUAAAAAAGCCAACGGGAGGUUUGGUGGGAGAAGAUGUGAUCUGUUUGGUUAAUUGAUGCUGGUAAGUGACAGAAUAUGCUUAGUGAGCUUGGAGAUGGUCAAAUGCUAAAUUCUUAAUAAAUCUCUUUGCUAAACAGAGUAUAAAAUAUUUACAUGCUCUCUCACUAAGAAUUUUUAUUAUAUUUUAACAAACUAUUCGGUCUCUAUAGAAUCAUGGAACAGGAAUGCAGAACUGUUUGGGUAUAUAUUUAGGCAAAUUUAUACUUGGGAGCAGUAGUAAAAAAUGGAAUGUUGUUAGUAUCCAAUUUACUCCUACUUAAUGUUGAAAUGAGUGACUAUGUUACAUUUGUACACACAGUCCUUCCUUGUAUAUUCACCGUGUCGAACAAUUAAGUGUCCUCGAGUUUCCUUGAAAUUGAAUUGAUACAGAUUAAUAUAGAAAACAUGGAUAAAUGGAUAAUGUAAUCUUUUGAGUAUCAGCAUACAUGCACCUUGGUAAUUGAUAUUGGGAUGAUAAUUCUGAUGCUAUUUUGGAGGAGAUAUUGCCCUAAGAUAUUACCGAAUCACAUGGACUAUAAAAUUGUCUCUUUAUACAUAAUCUUGGCAAAAAUCAUCUCGUGUGAGGUUUUCUGCAUGUUAAAUACUGUUAUGGAGCCAAAACAUUCAUAUCAUUAAAGUGGCUUUCAUGUUAGUUCCAGAUUAAUACCAUGUAGCUAAUAUGCUUAUUAUUGAGUUCAUGUCACUUAUUUGUUCGAAUAAUCGGUAGCAAUACCUUAGGCAUGUUAUUAAUUCAAUCAAUUAUCUUGAUUGUAUAGACGUUUGCGUGACACGAUUACUAUUUAAAAAAUGAAUAUUUGUAUUUUGCUUUAGGCUUGAUUUAGACUAAUAUUGUGAUUAUGUAUACGUUUCCGUAACAUACUUGCAAAUUUAAUUCUAAAGUGACUAGAGGGAUGGUUCGCGCAACAUCAGCCAAACUUUUCUUAAUAAAUCAGCAAAAGCGUUAUUAAUUGUGGACAUGUAUGCGUGACAUGAUUUUUGACGCGCCAUAGGAAAAAGUAUACGUACGCGCAACUCAAUCAUUUAAUUAUGAAUAAUCAAGUGAUUUAAAAGAGGUAAAACGAUGAAUGCACAUAGGUCGUAAAUGAGUAGCUAAACAAUUUAAGCCAAGUAACAAUCACUAAGCGACCGUGCUAGAACCACGGAAGCCAGGAAUGCCUAACACAACACCUCCUAGAUAAACAGAAUUCCUUAUCUUGAAUUUCUGGUUCGCAGACUGUGAGUAGAGUCAACCUUUCUCGAUUUGGAAUUUAAAAUAAAUCAGUGACUUGGGACACCAAUUAAAAUAUUUCAAGUGGCGACUCUGAUAAAAAAAUGAAUGAAUAAUCCCAUUUCGAAUAAUGUCACUUAAUUGAAAAGAACUCCCUCUACACCCUUCCGGGGGUGUAGUGAAAAAGGAGUUGAGACAGCUACCGGCAUCGAAUUUGUUUUUGGGUAGUAAUGGCAGUCAACAGUUCCUACUGUGAGCGUCGAAGUGGUAGGGUAUAUCAUAUGUUUACAUCUUGGGUUAUGGGUAUGGCUUGAUACAGCUUGCUCAGAUUUAUACAGUGGCUAGAUGUUGGAUUCGAGACUUCUGAUGAAUUCUGGAUGAUAGAGAUUGGGUUCUAAGGUUUAAGGACCGAACUCGAAAUAAGGACCUCCAGUUAUGUUAUGUUGGAGGGCUAUGUGGAUCAGGAUGACGUGGGAUCACCCCCGGGUUGAUGCUUGGCAAGGUUGCAUCGGGAUUUGAUAGCUUUGGAAGGACUCCUAGAACGUUCGAUGAUGAACCUGUGUUUAAGUGGUGGAGGAUGUAACGACCUGAUUGGUUAUUUUGAGUAUCUGCACUUUGCUCGGUGAUGCGAGGGCUCGAUUAUCUCCGCAUGAUGUAUUAUGACUUGCGUAAAUCAUUGGUGUUGGUUUUCAAGUUAUCUGGAAUCGGUUUGGAAGAAAGAACUUCAAGAUUUAAGUUCUAAAUUGGAAGAAUUUACUAAGUUUGACUUUUUAGCAUUUGACCUCAGAAUGAAGUUUCUCAAUUCUGUUAGCUCUGUUGGGUGAUUUUGAACUUAGCAGCACGUCCGGAUUGUAAUUUGGAGGUUUGUAGUCGAAUUAGUCUAGAAUUGGCGAAAGUUGGAUUUUUAUGAAGUUUGACUGGGAGUGGACUUUUUGAUAUCGAGGUCGGAUUCCGAUUCUAGAAGUUGGAAUAGGUCUAUAAUGAAAAAUGUGACUUGUGUGCAAAAUGUGAGGUCAAUCAGAGGUGAUUUGAUAUGUUUCGGUAUCAAUUGUAGAAGUUGAAGUUUCAAAGUUCAUUAAUUUUGACUUGAGGUGUGAUUCGUCGUUUCAUAGUUGUUAUUUGUGAUUUGAAGCUUUGAGUUGGUUCAUUUUGUCAUAAAGAACUUGUCUGCAUAAUUUGGCACCAUUUGGAAUUGAUUUGAUAUAAUUCGGACGAUAGGUUGUAAUUCUAGAAGUUCUUGAAGUAUAAGUAAGCAAAUGGUUGUAUGUUUCUGCAUUAUUUUUUAUUUUGAGGUCAUGCAACUCAUGGACACUACAAGUUUUACUUUUGUAUAGACGAAGGUUUUAGAUAGUGCUUCAUUUAAUUGCUGAUGAUUGGUGUAACGAUUUACAAAUAUGUAAAUAAAAACAUUUAGUAUCAAAGUAGCAAAUGGAACAUUCUGUGUAAAAAAUAUAUGGAAUCAACUAUUGAUAGUUGUAUUAGGAUAAGUUGCUUGCACCACGCGCUAUUUGAAUUUUUUUUUACUUUUUUCCGAAAUUUUACAAUUCUUAUGUCCAAACACUCACUAAAUGUGUAAAACUCAUAUAGAGUUCAAGGCAAUAGUCAAAACAAAAAAUAAGCUUACUCCUUGAAAUUUUAUUCUUGAAUUUAUGUUACAUACAUGCGGAGUAUCCCAUGGAGACAUUAUUCUGACAUGUGUAGCAAAGCUUAAUUAGUUGCCACAACUCAAAACUCAACUAGCUUUUUUCACAGAAGUGAGUGAACCAGAAGAGAAACUCACUGAAUCAUACCUUUGAAAAAUAUAAGCCACAAUCAAAGAAGCAGUAAGAGUAACAACAUCCUUAGCCGCACAUUGUUUGUUUGAUUCAGUUGGUCUCCCACUCUGUGGUCCAUUUGACCAAAACAAAAAAUUCAGCAAUUCUUUUCCUUUUUCCUUUGUAAACCUUUCCAACACAAAUUUUCCAGGAUCAUCAAACACCUUUGGAUCUCUCAUUACCAAUGGCUGAUACCCACAAAGAAGUUCACCUUUCUUGAUUUCAUAUACUGAAUCGUGUGAACUUAGCUUAAAAUCUUUUCUUGCUCUUGCAUAUUGAGUUGGCACUGGUGGACUAAGUCUAAGUGUUUCAUAUACAAAAGAUUGAACAAGUUCCAUUUCUUUAACACUCUCAAAACUCAAAUUUUCUGGCUUUAAUCCAACUUUCUCUCUCACUUCAUUUCUUAACUUCUCUUGUAAUUCUGCAUUUUUUUCAUCUCCAAGAUUUCCCAGAAGGGUUGGCAAGAAAAUAGAGAAACCACCAAAAGCAUUGAACCCAAGAAUGAACAAAAGGUUAUGUAUAACUUCUUGUUCAGUAAGUCCAAACUCUGACUUCCCUCUGUUUAAAACUUCCUUGGCUUCAUCUUUCACAAAUUGAAUCAGUUUUUCAUAACUACCUUUGACAAGGAAAAAAGGGUAAGUAAAAGAGUGGACAAAUAUUUCUUCAAGGGGUUGAAGUAUACCAAUACUAACAGUGGGUGCAAGUUGAAUAGCUAGCCACGUGUCAAGCAUGACAUAGCCGGAAUUGGCUAUUUCUGGUGAAGCUGAUGGAUUGGCUCCUAAGAGAGUGAGAGAGAAAAGGUUGAAGAGGAAUUUUUGCAUAGCAGGGAGGAGAGAAGCUGAGUUUGAUCUUGAGAUAUCUGAUUCAAAAGUUUCAAACAUGGAGUUGAGCUCAUUGACAAGUGUAGGCACCCAUGUUUUUGAGCUUCUUUUUAGAAUGUCCAAUGAAAAGUUCUUUAUCUGCAAUUUAACAGUACAUGAUGAUAAAUGUACUCUACAAUUUUAUUCCAAAUCACCAAAAAUUUUGUUAUAGAAAAUAUACUCUUUCUUAUAAGGGUCCGGGCAAGGGCUGCCUGUACGACCCCAAAACAUCUCCAUAUGUAAUUUAGGAUUUCGUGGUGCUAGGCAGGUUAAUUAUAACAUUUUAAGUGUUAUUAGCAUGAUGGACAUUAAUUAAAUUUGGUAAAUAAGUAUAUAAGUCAUAUAUUAAGUAAUGUGGGGUUUAAGGAGAGACCUAAGUCUAAUUCAAGUUGAAAAUAAUUUUCAUGAUAGGCCAUAAUUUCAAAUGAGUAUGCACAAAUAUCAUUGGAAUAGUUUCGAAAAAUCUAAUAUAUAAAUUAUACAUAAUAAAAUAAUCAAAAAAUUAAUAUAAUAUAAAUUUUAUAAAAUAACUCAUCGAACCGAACCAUUAACACCCUAAUGAUUGCUACGACUAUUUUAGAAGUAAACCACUGAAGACGAAUCAUGAAUAAUUAGUAAUUUUGUCAUUUUAAAACAUUAGUCAUAAUUCUAGAAAAACAGGAAAAAAAGAUCUAUUAGGGAUUUGAGGAGAUAUUUUGAAACUAAUAUGUGUCAUGUGUAAAAUGUGGAUGCCUAGACUAUUUGUUUCACUGAAAUGCCAACUCUAUUAUAUUCUCAUCUAUUCCCAUUUAUGACUGGACUUAUUAACAUAUAUAUAGAUAUACUAGUACACAAGACAAAUUAGUGUCAAAAUUUCAACUUGUACAGCACAUGCCCCUGUGGUCCUUGAUUAUAUAAUUUCUCAUCAGAGGUAGUACUAAUCAAUUAUCAACGAAAGUUAUUACUACUAAAAGUUAAAAGAAGUGAUGAGAAAAACUGAUAUUUUUGCUUCUCGGUGGGAUUUAAACCUGAACCCUCGAGUUGUCAACUUGCUUUUUUGACCACUAGGUUAAUGAUGUUGGGUGCCGACGACCUUAAUGUUAUAUUGCAAAAGUUCAGCAACGUCGAACAUCCUCGUUCAUAUCUCAGUUUGGAAACGUGGGAAAAGAGAUACUCCCUCUAUCCCAUUUCAUGUGAAUGGAUUCAGGUCAAAACACAUACACACACAAAUUCUUUAAUAUAUUUAAAAUCUAUGGAACAAGAAAAUGUUUAAAAUGAAUUAUCUCGGAGAGGAGAAGUAAAUGGAAAAUUAAAGGUACGUACCUGAGUAUGUUUAGGUUCAGAAGUAUCAAGAUAAGCACAAACACGCAUAUCUCCAGUAUACUUAACACUAGGCAUGAAAUCCCCAACAAGAACAUUAGCUUUCUCUACAUUCUCCAUAUCAAACAGAUGUGAAAACGACUUGACGUCAAGAACCGCCACCACAUUUGGAUUAACACCCAGAAAAAAGGGAAAACAAGGAGGCACAUUUGUUCUAAAAACGGUGCUCUUGUGCUUUUCAAUUCUCUUGGUAAAAAAAGUGUUAGGUCCCUGAAACCAGUUAUAGUCCAAUCUAUCUGAUAUCGGUCCUAACAACGGCCAACCGUAGCCGCCGGGGAUUGUACGGACGGGAAGAGAAGCCGGCGGCGUAGUUAACGGCAGUGAGGAUGUACCAGUGCUACCAGGAUUAAUAGGAGUAGAUCCGCUCAUCAUUUUCGCCAUGAGUGUGGACAUACCUUUUUUUUUUUUUAAUGUACAGAAAUUCAAUGCAGAAUGCUGGGUUUUUCUAAACUCUUGUAUAAAAAUAUUUAUAAGUGAUUGAGAAAUGGAAAAUGUAACAAGUGAAUAAUAUGGGAUAAAUAAGGAUUGGAAAAUGGAAAAGAUUGUGAAGCCAACGGUUGUUUAAAACCUGGAAGGAUUGGUGGAAGAAGUACAACUACAUAACUGUUUAAAAAUGGAAAUUCAGAAUUAUGUACGUUCACUUUAUUGAACUGCUGGUCCUUCCAUAGUUUAGGACUAGAUAUUUUAUGUACAAGAAGAUAUUGAUGACUAAUAAAUGUGGACAAUUGGGCUCAUGGAAAUCUAAAUCAAUUGUCAUAUCGUUCCUUACAUGUCUGAUCUUUUCUAUAUAGACAAUAUAUACGUUUUGUAUAUAUGUACUAGGGGUGUACAAAGAAAACCGACAAAUCGCACCAACCCGAUAAUCCGAGUCAAGUCGAGAAAAAAAAUCCGACUAUGGUUUGGUUUGACUUGGUUUGGUGUUGGAAAAAAAAACCCGNNNNNNNNNNNNNNNNNNNNNNNNNNNNNNNNNNNNNNNNNNNNNNNNNNNNNNNNNNNNNNNNNNNNNNNNNNNNNNNNNNNNNNNNNNNNNNNNNNNNNNNNNNNNNNNNNNNNNNNNNNNNNNNNNNNNNNNNNNNNNNNNNNNNNNNNNNNNNNNNNNNNNNNNNNNNNNNNNNNNNNNNNNNNNNNNNNNNNNNNNNNNNNNNNNNNNNNNNNNNNNNNNNNNNNNNNNNNNNNNNNNNNNNNNNNNNNNNNNNNNNNNNNNNNNNNNNNNNNNNNNNNNNNNNNNNNNNNNNNNNNNNNNNNNNNNNNNNNNNNNNNNNNNNNNNNNNNNNNNGUCUAAUUUUUGUUUUGCAAUAAUUUAGAUAAAAAUACAUAACAUAUUUUUAUUUUGCUUUAGCUUUUAGGCAUAUAAUUAAUACUCCCCUAUUAAUCUAUCUAGUUUAGCUUGAAUUAGUGCUUUUAGAUUAUGUUUAUUUUUUUUAUGGCUUUUUAAUUAGCAAUAAUUAUAUUACAUAAUUUUAUUGUCUUUAUUGUUGAAUAUUUUAGGAUAAUGCCAUGACACAUCUUAUAGUUUGUAUUAUUUUCUUGAAAAAUAUUUUAUAUAGUUGUAUCUUACUAGUAUUAAAGAAAUAUUUUGAGCAUACGUUAUAUGUUUUGUUCUACGAAUAUUUCACCGAAAAAAAAAUAAAAAAACCCGAAUAACACUAGAAAAACCGAGAUUGAAAACCCCGAAUUUUAUUUUGAUUUGUUCUUUAGAUUUAAUAACACGACACAAUAGAUUUGGUUUGGUAAUUGUAAAAUUCGAACCAACCCGACUUAUGUACACCCUUAUAUAAACUAGAUAGAUCAGGGGAGGAUGCAACCUUUUAGUAUUGGGCUCAUCCGUAAUUGAUAUUUUCGGUGAAAAGUAUAUAUAUAUAUAUAUAUAUAUAUAUAUAUAUAUAUAUAUACACACGACAAUUUUCAAAAUAUAAUAAAUUUAGUGCUAAAAUUUUUAUAAAUAAAUUGCAUCAAGUUUAAAUUUUGAACCUGAACUCACAUAAAUAUUACCAUUAUAUUUUUUUUGAAAUAAAGUAUGAAAAACGUUUGUACCAAGAGACCAUCAAAUGUUGUACAUUCACUUUAUUGAACUGCUGGUCCUUUCAUAGUUGAGGACAAAAUGCACGUGUUCCAGUGAAAAGAGAGUAGGUGCAACAAGUAUUUCGUACUUAUAUAGAGUUUGAAGAAGGGUUGGAUUUUAAGAAAAUGUGAUGUAUACAAUAUACCUUAAUACAAAAAUUAACGACUAAUUUAACAAUUCGAAUCCUCACACAAAUAGUCUACUGCAAAAAUUAAUUGACCAUGUGUGCGGUUGAUUCUACUAAAAGCUUUAAAUCUUUGGUUUGUUAUAAGAACUUUGCAAGGGCAAGAUAUAGAGCUGGUUUGGAUUGAUUUUAAAAAGUAAUUUUUCAGGAGAAAUAAAUUUUUAAGACAAAAAUUACUAAGUUUGGGUUACCCAAUUUAUUCUUUUUAGUUUGUGAUAAGCAAUUUUUAAUGUAUUUUCAAUAUGUUUUUGACUUAGUCAAACACGAAAGAAAGUUGAAAAGCUUAUUUGACUAAGUAAGCUUAUUGAAAAAGCCUAAAAGCCCCACUCUCAUUAGGGGUAUACAAAGAAAACGAACAAAUAAUAAUUCGCGUCAAACUGAGAAAAAAAAUCUGACUAUAGUUUGGUUUGAUUUGGUUUAAUGUUAGAAAAAAAAAUCCGACAUUACUUUGGUUUGAUUUUAACUAAAAUAGUCAAAUCAAAACCAAACUAAGCCUUGAAAUCCAACAAGAAAUCCUACAAGAUCUUCAUCUAAGAGAUAAGGUUCUAUACACUAGACUUUAAUUUCGAGUUUGGGAUAUAAGAUGAGUCAUUGAAGUAUAAUUCUUGGGUGUAAUAGUAUUAUGUAUAUAUGCAUGUAAAAAAUUAGGUUUGAAAAAAGAUUGUUGAACACAAAUAAGUAAAGAUUAAGUUAGGAAAUUAAGAAAAUCUUGUAGAAGAGCUUUGAAAUCAAGAUGCACAAUUAGUAUUUGAUAAAAUGCUCAAAUGAGAUAAAACCAUGAAUACCUUCCUAAUUUGUGUUCGAUUUUGUUACGUCUCAAAGUAGAUUUGGAUUGCUAGAAUUUCCAGAAUGUUGUAGUGACUUAGGGAAAAGUUCUUUGAGGUAUGCUGGCUAAACUUUUUCUUAGAAUCGAAUUCCAUAAAUAUUUUCGUAAGUUCGAGUAUGGUUGGCUCAAAAUUCCUAAUUUCUAUAUUCCAAGUCAUUACCUAUAAACCUGACUAUUCAAAAAUGAGCCUUGUGAAUGAUGAUAUAUGGUCGAAGUAUGGAUUGCGUAUUAAAAUGUUACGACUUUGUGUCGUGUUUCAAAUGAAGGCUAGUAUGUCAAAUUGUGCAAGAAAGUUCGACAUGCGUAAGGCUCAUAAUUGCUCAUAUGUAUACCUAAAGUCUUGAUUGGAAAUAUAUUGUUGGUAAAAUAUAAAGAUAUUUGGAAGUGAAAUAAGUGCAUUGUGGAAUAUGAAAUACGACCAUUGUGCUAUGAAAGAAGAAUCGUAUGUAUGACCAAAAGGAGCAAAUAAAUUAAUGAUGUUGUGAGUAGCUAAAGGUACCAAUGAAACUAAGUACGAUAUAAAAGGCUUAUUGUGUAUAAUAUGUGAAUCCUAUGGAUGGGCUAUGAUACACAUAGGUGUAUAAUAUAAUAUGUGGAGCCUAUGGACGGGCUAUGAAACGCAUAAGUGUAUAAUAUAAUAUGUGGACCCUAUGAACGGGCUAUGAAAUGCAUAGAUGUAUAAUAUAAUAUGUGAACCCUAUGGACGGGCUAUGAAAUGCAUAGGUGUCUAAUAUAAUACGUGAACUCUAUGGAUGGGCUAUGAAACGCAUAUGUGUAUAAUAUAAUAUGUGGACCCUAUGGACGGGCUAUGAAACGUAUAGGUGUAUAAUAUAAUAUGUGAACCCUAUAAACUGGUUAUGAAACGCAUAAGUGUAUAAUAUAAUAUGUGGACCCUAUGGACGGGCUAUGAAACACAUAGGUGUAUAAUAUAAUAUGUGGAUCCUAUGAACGGGCUAUAAAACGCAUAUGUGUAUAAUAUAAUAUGUGAACCUUACUAACGGUCUCAUAUGUGCAUAACAAGAAAGGACCGAAUGGUCUGGUGAGAUGCCUAUUUAACACAAGCGUCAUGUGGUUUUUAUUUCGUUGCACCUUGCUUAUAUAUGUUGUUGUGAUUACGCUAUAUUUUGUAUCCCACAUAUAGUUCAUAUGGUUGAAUUGACCCCAAGGAAGUUCAGAGUGAGGUAAGUAUAAUAAAAACCUGAAAUGUAAAUACAUGGGACAUUUUAUAGUUGCUUUACAUACUACGAUUUCCUUUCUCAUAUUGUUAUUCUAUUUUCAAAGAGGACAUCUAGCUAUACAUACUAGUGCUAUUCGAAGGCAUUAACGUCCUUUUUGCCAGGGACGCUGUAUCAAAUACAGGUGGUCCAGCAGCAGGCGGCUUCGAUCAGUGAUAG